Drosophila albomicans is the source of this 847-nucleotide long non-coding RNA. RefSeq lists it as uncharacterized. Lineage: Eukaryota; Metazoa; Arthropoda; Insecta; Diptera; Drosophilidae. The record is from RefSeq and is a predicted model, not a curated record. The transcript is spliced from 5 exons.
UAAUGAUUUAGCAUUCAUAAACAUACAUAUAUGUACAUAUAACAUAAACGAAAAAUAUUCUAGUCAGAAUAUUGAUGUAUGAAAAUUGUUUUAGACAGAGCAGCUGUCGGUGCCUUGUCGAUGUCUCCAUGAAAAUAGUUAAUGGGUAGUGUGAAUUGGAAAAAGGAAUGAAUGAAAUGGAAAGUAAGUUUCAUCACUAUCAUAUUGUGAUUAUUUUUCAAUAUUUCCCUUCACGACAGAUUCACUGAAAAAAGAAUUAAAAGAUCUGCAACGUACUAUUAAUAAAGCAACUGAACAGAUAACAGCAUUAAUUGACGUGAAAAAUGUUGUGGAGCUAAGAAAAGUCUUUCCUCUACGAACCGAGGAGGAUUUACGUAAUAUAGAUAUGAAAAUUGCAGAAUCACCAGGCAAUUAUCUACCGUUUUUUCAGAAGAUUCUGAUGCCGGAAGGCAUCAAAAAUAUAGAGAAAAUAAAUUUUGCCGGAAGUGGUACGGAGAAGGCAUUUGAUAAUUAAAUAAUAAAUUAAAAAUAAUUUAAAUAAUAUAUUGUAUGAGGCUACUACCAGCAAUGAUGGCAAUUUUAACGAUUAUAAGAAGAACAUUCGAGCGACAUUUGCAAGGGUUAAAAAUCGAGUAAAAUAAGACCAAUUGCAUUAGAAGAAAAAUAAAAUCCGAAAGAAUGGGAGACAAGGUAAUAUAAAUAGACACAUUCAGGGGCUGUUCUUUAAAAUGCCGGCGGGACAAUUGGAUAAAUUACAUUCAUGCCAAGCCACAAUUAUCCAUUUAGUACAUUAAACUAAUUCCUAUAGUAGUAGACUGACUAGAAACAUUUUGUGUUGAAAUAUAAU